Long non-coding RNA from Musa acuminata AAA Group (dessert banana), 3989 nucleotides. RefSeq lists it as uncharacterized. The record is from RefSeq and is a predicted model, not a curated record. NCBI's taxonomy places the organism in Eukaryota, Viridiplantae, Streptophyta, Magnoliopsida, Zingiberales, Musaceae. The transcript is spliced from 3 exons.
CAAGAUUGCCGCUCUCCUCGCACGACUAUUCAAGCUUUCGUUGGAGAGAAGCACACGUCCUAGGUAGCGAGAUGGAAGAGUCGCGACACACCGACCCGAACCCUAGCGAGGAGGUGUUCCAUCCGAGAGGAGGAGGAGGAGGAGGUAAGAAUGAUCCCUUCCCAUGUAAAUUUGCCCCUCGAUCGUAGGUUUUUAGCAAUUCUUUUUUGGGGGUGACGAGGCAGCUUAGAUCGGUUUGGGGCGGGGGCGCGUCUGGGGACUUUUGUGGUUAGAAGGGCUUCUUGGGCUUGGUAACGCGAGAAAGAUUCCGGAUGGGCUUGCCGACAUUGUUCGGGUUUGCGAAAUGAUCCCGUUCUUGGUUGUGAUUUCGAUCGGCGGCAUCGGAGAGGGAGGAACGUGGGUUUUUGAUCUUUUGCUUUCCAUUGGUUGUUCGUUGGAUGUCAUGCGAGGGUUUUGAAAGAGGAAGGGGAAAUGAGGAGCCGGAUAGUUCAGUGAUGGAUCGGGUAUUUGUGGGUUUCUUCUGCGAUAGAUGAGCAAAUCCGGGUUCUGUCCUCGAUCCUUCGAAGAACCCCUUUCAUUUUUUUGCUGGUGAACCCGUUUGCAUUUACCUUUCGUAUGUGAUCAUUAAGGUUCCCGUCUUUUCUUCCUUCCCUGAUUCUUGUCGCUGAAAUAUUAUGUACUAUGAAAAUUUUCUGAAUUAUUUUGCUACAAUCUUUCUAUAAAUUUGAGAGGUUUUGGAUAUGAUCGACAGGAUCGUUUGAAUAUUCUUGGGUGGCCAUUGUAAACGUCUAUGCAUGGCACCUGACAUGGAAUCCAUUUCAAAGGUUUAUUAUUAGGGUUUCUUGAUCUCCGUGCUGUGUGAUGGGUUCGGUAUCGUUCUUGCAACAUCCGAUUGAGUGGUACAAGGAUGCUUGCUUGAUACUAUUGAUAAAAUCUGCAUUAUGUGUAUGUGUACUUUGCGUGAUUCGUGCCUGAUUUUUCUUUGAUACCAUCCUAAUUUGGGGGUACGCUUUAGAUCAAGCGCAGGAGAGCCGGGAUAGAGAAAAAUAAGAGUUGCUUAGUUUCAUUUUGGUUCUUCUGUUUGGUUCGUAUAGUUUCUGAGUUUUAGUCAAAAUAUCAUGUGAGUAGCGAGUUAGUGCUUCUUAGGAUUACUCAAGGAUGUCCUGUUUUUCCUUGUGUCUAUUGUUCUUGAUGUGUGUAUGAACUUAAAGACUCCACUCUCUGAUGUUUUCUACAAGUUCUCAUGAGUCACUAUGAUUGUAGCACAUAACACUCACUUAUGGGUUGCUUCAGGUGAAGAUAUAUUAGCAAAUCUUAAUAGUUGCCUGGAUGUUGCAUAUCAGUUAGGUAAACUUGGAAAUGCUACAAAUAUUCUGUUGGAUAAAUUUAGGUUAAUAACUAUGCAUGAAUUGACUACAGGCAGUCGUAAUUUUAACUUGCAUCCUGUUCUGUUCUGUUCUGUUUCUUUCCUCACACAUCUUUUGUAAGGCAUCCAUCCCUGUGCAAAUUUAAUUUCUCAUUUUCUUCAUCUGAUGAUUAGAAGUCCACAGGUACACAAGGUAAAUUUUGAGUCUCAUGGGGAUUUGGAUGUAUUUCAGAAUUAUCUAGAUGCUAAUUCUUAGACUAUUUAUCUUAUUUUCCACCCUGUUGCUUUGCAGAAGUUCCUAAUAUAUCCAACUUGAGUUGGACAUUGCCCCUUAUGGCACCUUGUCUAUUAGCAUCACUAGUUCAUAAGAAUUGAAGUUUAGGUAGUGAACAAUACUUUAAGGGUGAACGUUGUAGAUGAUGCUGCCUCUCCAUCUUCCUUUUCAAAGCAUAUGGUUAGGAUGAACUGGUUUACCAUAGCAAUCGAAUUGUUCUCACGCAAAGAUUCAUCAUUGAAGGUCCUGAGUUUCUUAUGUUGGUCGAACUUUGGGCAGUCAUUUUUUUAUGUACUAUUAUUUUAUCUACACUAUUUAUUUGUUGACAUCUGGAUGUGGGUUUAUAGAUAAUGACUGGGAAACUGUUCUUGAUGGCUAAACAUUUAUACCCCUUAAUGUGGUUCAUGGUAUCCAGGAGUCUAUGGCCCAGAUUGUGUAGAAAGGAUGUUGACUUUGGUCAAUGUUUCAGUACACUGGGAUUAUAUUUCAGCCAAAACUUCACAUCUCAGCUUAGGAAUUGCUCCACUUUAUUUGUAGCUUAAGAAUUGGUAAGCCUCAUGCCAGAAUAAGGGUUGCCCUACUAGGUUUACAUUUUCUGAGAUCAGCAUACAACUUAAAGAGUUUUUUUCAUAACUUAUAAAAAAAUAAAAAUAGGUAUCUGAUCUUUUGUUGGUUGAUGCAAUUGUUCUUGAUUCAAGAAUGAAGUACACACAUGGUCUCUUCCUUUAAAGAUGAAGAGGAAUUGAGGAUACAUGUUCUUCACAUUAAAUUUGAGCUCUCAAACAGAAUGGAAAUUCUGAGAAUACACUUAGCUAUUAAAUACAGAUUCUGCUGCUGAUAUGAUUAUUUUCUUAGCAAUUAACAAGUUUGUUUUUAGGCAAAAUAGUUUCUUCCUAUAAAUCUUUUACCAGGACAUAUAUGGAGAUUAACUCAUGAACUGACUCUAUUUUGUAAACAGAAGUAAUAUCUACUGUCUUUGCCUUUUUGCUUGUAAGUUUAGUGCAUGACUGUUGCAGAAUUGACCAUGUAAGGAUAGGUUCUCAGUACCAACUUGGAGCUUGACUGGUGAAAGAAGCGUCACUUAUCACCACUGAAAUUCACAACCAAAUUAAUACCAAUAUUUUCUUAUUAAUUAGGAUAGAUAAAAAUGUUUAAUACAAAGGUAGACAAGGCAGAUACAGCCUUAUCCCAUCUGACAACAUGACACUGAUAAUAGACAGCCAUGCACACCCAAUUUAUUUAAUCAAACAUAAUAGUAAUACCCCACACUUUUUCCAUAUUCCAAUUUUUAUAUAUUAUUACUGAUAAGUACUUCACUGGCCACAUUUGUGGUCAACACAAGCGCAGGCAGGACCACACUUGCACAUGCCAUCAUUCUCAGCAGCUGCUGGGGCAUUGAUCACAUCGUCAAAGUAGCUGAAGAAAUUACAUGAAAGAACUGCAACACAAGAUGAAGGGUCGAAGUAGAUGAUGACUUACACGCACUGGCUCUUGUCAGCGCAGUCGCAGUUGCCACAGGUUGACAUGUUGAGGUGGAAUGAGAUAACUGAGGGCAGAAGGCUACAAGAAAGAUCAAGAGUUGUGGGAUGUGUUCUUGGGGAUGAGUGUUUGCUUGGUUGGUGCUUAUUUAUAGGCCUUUGUUUUUUUUUGGUUCCUGAAGAGACCUCCCUUCAUUGUUUGUGCUGUCCACACGCCGCCACCAAGAUAAGCAUCCAAAGGAAUCUCAAUUAUGGGGAGCAGAAGACAGACAUACACCUCUCAUGUCAACAUCUUAAUUCUCUGACCUUUUCCCAAUGUUGGAGAUAGGCAUCGAAGCUUGUGAAGGUUCAUCUUUCCAUACCGGGUGUGGUGGAUAUUCUGUCAUCCUCUUGCUGAGUUGUGAUGGGAGUUUUGUGGAGAGUAGAAUCCAUCAGACUAUCAGGCCAAGGAGGUGGAUAUGAUCUCAUCCAUUGUUCAUCAAGCAAUGAUAGUUUACCCAGUAAAUUUAUGCUGGUGGCCAAGAUGGUUGUGAAGCAGGAACAUCGAUGAAGGGUGGGGAGAUUCUGAAGGUAAUGGUACUUGUGCGCCUCACCUCAACAUUUCUGGCGUGGUCUGGUCUGGUCUGGUCUGGUCUUUAAAUCAACAGGUUCUACUGCUUCCUAUACAAAUCAGAAUCAGCAUUUUCAAGAUGGGGCCAAUUUUACCAGCAGCAGAUAGGGAGGGGCCCAAAGGCCGGCUUAUCUUCCGCUAUUAUACGCAACAUUCUAGUUAUGGAAAGUAGAACAUCAUGAAUGCAGGCGGCUUCCACGACAAUGACUUAUCUUAAAAUAUGUUGGAUUUUUAAUUAUAUAUAUUUUUUAAAAUCAUCAA